GCACUGCAAAUGUCACUGUACCUUGCUGGAAGGUGAUCUCCCCCCAGCCACACAUCACAUGGGGAGAGGAGGGGAGGCUCCUACCAGCUGAAAAAUACAGGAGCAGAUCAAAACAGACAAGGCACAUUGGGAGUCAGAGAGAGGAAAACAGUAAGUGAGGCUGUAAGGACUCUGCUGACUGGCUGCAGCUCCUGUGGAGAGUCUGCUCAGGGAUUUUGGGGAGGAUGCUUUGCCAGCCCCUGUGGAUGCUCAGGGAGGAGCUGCCAUAGGCACACUGCACCCUGUGACACGGACAGAAUUUACAGGUGUGUGUGUUUAAGGCUCCCAGUGAUGUUGUGGCAAUAUUUCUGUAUUACUGGUGCUAUGAAUAUUUUAACAUAUAUAUCUGAUACAUUUGUUAGAAAUCAGGCCACAAGACAGAGACAAGUGACAUGGAGUUAUUUUAGGAGGAAAAUUUUCCGAAAUGGAUACUGUCUUCAAAAGUUCAAUUAUACAGUAAAUAAACAAAACCACUAAACUAAACAAAGGUUUGUGGGGAAAACAAACAGAAAAAGACAACAUCUACGUUCAGAUCAGCCUUACAAAGCACAUUUGUCAUUGUGUGUGCAGUUCACUGGCAGGUUCUUGGGAGAAAAUGAAGUAUAGCACAGAACAGGCCUUACAUCCCCUGCACUUUCACGUUAACCAGGAGACAGCAAAGUCAGAACAAAUUUACCAGGUGCUUCUUUAACUGCAAUCAGGAUGGGAAUGUCUCCAGUUGUGACAAUGCAAUUAG
Long non-coding RNA from Pseudopipra pipra, 775 nucleotides. RefSeq lists it as uncharacterized. The record is from RefSeq and is a predicted model, not a curated record. The transcript is spliced from 3 exons. Lineage: Eukaryota; Metazoa; Chordata; Aves; Passeriformes; Pipridae.